GAUGAACGCUGGCGGCGUGCCUAAUACAUGCAAGUCGAGCGAACAGACGAGGAGCUUGCUCCUCUGACGUUAGCGGCGGACGGGUGAGUAACACGUGGAUAACCUACCUAUAAGGCUGGGAUAACUUCGGGAAACCGGAGCUAAUACCGGAUAAUAUAUUGAACCGCAUGGUUCAAUAGUGAAAGACGGUUUUGCUGUCACUUAUAGAUGGAUCCGCGCCGCAUUAGCUAGUUGGUAAGGUAACGGCUUACCAAGGCAACGAUGCGUAGCCGACCUGAGAGGGUGAUCGGCCACACUGGAACUGAGACACGGUCCAGACUCCUACGGGAGGCAGCAGUAGGGAAUCUUCCGCAAUGGGCGAAAGCCUGACGGAGCAACGCCGCGUGAGUGAUGAAGGUCUUCGGAUCGUAAAACUCUGUUAUUAGGGAAGAACAAAUGUGUAAGUAACUAUGCACGCCUUGACGGUACCUAAUCAGAAAGCCACGGCUAACUACGUG
RNAcentral lists this ribosomal RNA (497 nucleotides) under uncultured bacterium. RNAcentral's name for it is "partial 16S ribosomal RNA". It matches the Rfam family "Bacterial small subunit ribosomal RNA", at positions 28 to 507 of the family's 1533-position model. The record is from RNAcentral.